RNAcentral lists this long non-coding RNA (2006 nucleotides) under Pelobates cultripes (western spadefoot toad). The record is from RNAcentral. Lineage: Eukaryota; Metazoa; Chordata; Amphibia; Anura; Pelobatidae.
CGCCACGUGUUUGUUUGCGCGAACGGUAGCCACCCAGCGUUCGGCAAUUUACCUACAGCAGGCUCCAAGCCUGGGAGGUAAAUUGUCUGCACACUUCCACUUCUGGGUGGUCCGCCUGUGUGGUACUUGGUUCAGUAAGCCCCAUUUACUGAACCAAGUGGGAAAUAGCCAGGAACAAAGGGUUUUAACCAGGUCUGGGGACACAGGCUUAAAGGGGCAAUGUCCCAAACAAGUCUGGGGACACAGUCUUAAAGGGGCAUUGUCCCAAUUUUCUCUAUGUCCCAAAAAAGUGCUUAAAAGGCCAGCACCAGUCCCAUAAAAAGUCCAUAAGCCCCAAUAUGCCCACCGACUGUCUUAAAGGGCCAUACACAUCCGGACCAUAGUCAUGGGGGAGGAGGCUGGCAAAUAGGCUCCUCCAUAAUCCAGGGGAGCAGGGCAAUUUGUCAUUUAAAGGAACAGUUACAAAAGGCAGUUUGUAACAUUUGUAUACUUUUUAUUUAAAAUUGUAUACAAUGUAACAUUCUUCUUUCACUGGGUAAGUAUAUUAGUACUUAAGCAAUACUGUGCUUCGGAACUUCAGACAUUCAGAAGUACCCGAAUGUCCGAAUUUCCUGAAAUUCAUCCGAAUUCAUAUUCGGACCGAAAUGAAAUGCACAUCUCUACUGCUCAAUAAGCUUCUUUCGAUAUCGGCACCCUGCAGCCAACAGAAGUGUAUGCUACUCAUAUUUGCUCCACGAUUGUUUUGAAUUGGAAAUUAAUGAAAAAGACAACUUUUAACAAGGAUCAAGGUUUUUAAUUUAACGAUCUAGAAGACUUGCCUUUAAAAUAUCUUUUACAUAUUUCCACCGUCUGAUGGAACCUCAUUACUAAAGUGAACCUGUCACGACAAAUCACCUAAAUUAUAUGUUUAGUCCUUUUAGUAACGGUUUAGAUUUUACUUACGUCCUGUCCAUGGUACCAUACUGUAACUCCCACCCUCUGGUCCCACCUUGUUCUUGGCCCUCUAUGAUGAGAUUGGUAGUGCAUGGGGGCACUUUACCUAGCAGGUCAUGUUAGCUCUGACAUUCAAGCUUCAUUAUGUUCCUAUAACCAGCAUAUCAGCCGAAAAUCUGUGUUUUCUGGCUCUCUCUACACUAACUUUAUCCUGACAGUUGAUUAAUUGGUAAAGGGACAAUAUUAUUUUCUUAAUCAAUUGUUUUAUUGUGCAGGUGUACUACAUACACAAUAUUUGAGAAUAUCAAAAAUAAUUCAAAACUGCACUAUUUUAGGGUAGUGUGUAUAUAUCAUCAAGAGCAUAUUAAAACCGAACACCUUAAGGAAAUUAAUUUGUGUUAUCAGAAUCACUGCAGCUUCAACCUGUCAAAAAAUGUUUACGAAUAUAUAGCUGGCAAUCUUCACAAAUAAUAAAACAUAUAUAUCAACUUACUUAAUCAGAACAUACACUGAUCAGCCUCAACAUUAAAACCACCUGCCCUAUAUCAUGAUGGAGAUCCCCUGCGUGCUGCCAAAACAGCGCUGAUGCAUUGAGGCAUGGACUCCACAAGACCUUUGAAUGUGUUCGGUGGUAUCUGGCAUUAAAAUUUAGCAGUAGGUCCUUUAAGUACUGCAGGUUGAGAGGUGGGUCCUCCAAUGACCAGGUUUAUUGUCCAGCACAUCCCACAGUUGCUCAAUCGGAUUAAGAUCUGGGGAAUUUGGAGGCAGAGGCAACACCUCCAUUCCCGAGCAAUGUUUGCAGUGUCACAGGGUGCAUUAUCCUGCUGAAAGAGGCCACUGCCAUCAAGGAACACCGUUGUCAUAAAGGGGUGUAAAUGGUCUGCAACAUUUUCUAGGUAGGUGGUACAUGUUAAAGUAACAUCCACAUGAAUACCAGGACCAAAUGUGACAAAACCCCUAUUUUGCCUCCCCAAGAACCAUUCUCCUCCUCAGUUCGGGAAUCUGUUUAAACUUUGUUUCUUUUUACCCUCCUCACAUUCGGGAUUAUAAAGUACCAAACACAGACCACCCCC